Molecule: non-coding RNA, 77 nt
Organism: Podarcis lilfordi (Lilford's wall lizard)
Lineage: Eukaryota; Metazoa; Chordata; Lepidosauria; Squamata; Lacertidae
Source: the annotation of a GenBank genome assembly
AAGCUUUCAUGUGCAUGCACACUUCUUCAGAUACCUGAAGAAUAUAUCUGAAGAAGUGUGCAUGCACACGAAAGCUU